This 120-nucleotide ribosomal RNA is filed under the name Salmonella enterica. Its description in RNAcentral is "partial 23S ribosomal RNA". The stretch from base 1 to 102 matches the Rfam family "Bacterial large subunit ribosomal RNA", at positions 2824 to 2925 of the family's 2925-position model. RNAcentral also lists the same sequence under 2 other names. The record is from RNAcentral. Lineage: Bacteria; Pseudomonadati; Pseudomonadota; Gammaproteobacteria; Enterobacterales; Enterobacteriaceae.
CUCCUGAAGGAACGUUAAAGACGAUGACGUUGAUAGGCCGGGUGUGUAAGCGCAGCGAUGCGUUGAGCUAACCGGUACUAAUGAACCGUGAGGCUUAACCUUACAACGCCGAAGGUGUUU